Molecule: transfer RNA, 74 nt
Filed under: Virgibacillus natechei
Lineage: Bacteria; Bacillati; Bacillota; Bacilli; Caryophanales; Bacillaceae
Also listed under: 3 other names
Description: tRNA-Gly
Rfam family: tRNA
About the family: Transfer RNA (tRNA) molecules are approximately 80 nucleotides in length. Their secondary structure includes four short double-helical elements and three loops (D, anti-codon, and T loops).
Source: RNAcentral
GCGGGUGUAGUUUAGUGGUAAAACCUCAGCCUUCCAAGCUGAUGAUGUGGGUUCGAUUCCCAUCAUCCGCUCCA